GGCUAAAACAGUCAGGAUGUUGGCUUAGAAGCAGCCAUCAUUUAAAGAAAGCGUAAUAGCUCACUGAUCGAGUCGUCCUGCGCGGAAGAUGUAACGGGGCUAAGCCAGUCACCGAAGCUGCGGAUAUGCGCAAGCAUAUGGUAGGAGAGCGUUCUGUAAGCCUGCGAAGGUGUCUUGUAAAGGAUGCUGGAGGUAUCAGAAGUGCGAAUGCUGACAUGAGUAGCGAUAAUGGGGGUGAAAAGCCCCCACGCCGUAAGCCCAAGGUUUCCUGUUCAACGUUCAUCGGAGCAGGGUGAGUCGGCCCCUAAGGCGAGGCAGAGAUGCGUAGCUGAUGGGAAGCAGGUUAAUAUUCCUGCACCGUCGUAUGAUGCGAUGGGGGGACGGAUCGCGGAAGGUUGUCUGACUGUUGGAAUAGUCAGUUUCUGCUUCAUAGAAGGUGCUUAGGCAAAUCCGGGCACGUAAUUCAAGGGAGUGGGACGAGUGUACUUGUACACGUAGCAAUCGGAAGUGGUUCCAAGAAAAGCCUCUAAGCUUCAGUCAUACGAGACCGUACCGCAAACCGACACAGGUGGGCGAGAUGAGUAUUCUAAGGCGCUUGAGAGAACUCGGGAGAAGGAA
RNAcentral lists this ribosomal RNA (618 nucleotides) under Duganella sp. sic0402. Its description in RNAcentral is "partial 23S ribosomal RNA". It matches the Rfam family "Bacterial large subunit ribosomal RNA", at positions 1082 to 1712 of the family's 2925-position model. The record is from RNAcentral. Lineage: Bacteria; Pseudomonadati; Pseudomonadota; Betaproteobacteria; Burkholderiales; Oxalobacteraceae.